UGUGAUCAGAAAGUUUCCUAAGGACACAGAACACCUCUCUGGGACUUCCAUCAAAUCCUGCAAAUAUGCCUUCCAGCUAGGACACCAUUCCUUUUCUUCCUCUACAGUCAAGAACCUUUUGAGAACUUGGGUGCAUUUUAACAGUGUGUCGGAUCCACCCACUGGAAACUGUGAGUGAAAUAAACCUCUCGGGUAUUUUGUCCCAGUGACAGAAAACUGACUAAAACAUAUGGUGUCUUUUGAAACACAAGUUUUUAAUUGUGAUGAAGUCAAAUCUGUUUUUUUUUCUUGCUCAUUCUUUUAGUGGCAUAAAUAGUAAAUCCAGAUGACUUCUUUUUCUUGCCUAAUUGCCUUGGGUAGAAUUCCAGUACAAUGUUAAGAUGGUGGCAUCUUUGUUUCUAAUUUUAAUGGUGAAGCAUCCAUUCUUUCAUCAUUAAGUAUGUUGUUAGCUGUGGAUUUUUCACAGAUAUCCUUUAGUGAGUUCAGAAAGUUCCCCUCUAUUUCUAGUUUGUUCCGUAUUUUCACUGUGAAGGGGUGUUGCACUUUGUAAAUGCUUUUUUAUGCACCUAUUGAGAUGAUGCACUAUGUGAUUUUGUUUUUAUUCUAGUCAAUGGUAUAUUAUACUGAUUUUCAGAUGCUAAACCAACCUAUAUUCCUGGGAUAAAUGCCACUUUCAUAGUACAUGAUUCUCUUUUAUGUUGUUGUAUUCAAUUUUCCAGUAUUUUAUUUUGGAUAUUUGCACAAAUAUUUAUAAAGUAUACUGGUCUGUAGUUUUCUUGUGAUGGCUUUGGUUUUGGAAUCCAGGAAAUCUUGGACUCCUAGAAUGAGUUGGGAAGUGUUCCAUCCUUUUCUAUUUUAGAGAAAAUGUGUAAAGAAUUAGUGUUAGUUCCUUAAAUAUUUGUUAGUACUCAGUGGUAAACCAUCUGGGCCUGGAAUUUUGCUUGUGGGCAGUUUAUUAUUUUUAAUUACAGGUUCAGUAUCCCUUAUCUUAAUUUUGAUUUCAGAUUUUUUUGAUUUUUUAAUAUCUGCAUGUA
Heterocephalus glaber (naked mole-rat) is the source of this 1034-nucleotide long non-coding RNA. The record is from Ensembl. Lineage: Eukaryota; Metazoa; Chordata; Mammalia; Rodentia; Bathyergidae.